RNAcentral lists this ribosomal RNA (307 nucleotides) under uncultured bacterium. RNAcentral's name for it is "bacterial SSU rRNA". It matches the Rfam family "Bacterial small subunit ribosomal RNA", at positions 504 to 811 of the family's 1533-position model. The record is from RNAcentral.
CGUGCCAGCAGCCGCGGUAAUACGUAGGUCCCGAGCGUUGUCCGGAUUUAUUGGGCGUAAAGCGAGCGCAGGCGGUUUAAUAAGUCUGAAGUUAAAGGCAGUGGCUUAACCAUUGUUCGCUUUGGAAACUGUUAGACUUGAGUGCAGAAGGGGAGAGUGGAAUUCCAUGUGUAGCGGUGAAAUGCGUAGAUAUAUGGAGGAACACCGGUGGCGAAAGCGGCUCUCUGGUCUGUAACUGACGCUGAGGCUCGAAAGCGUGGGGAGCAAACAGGAUUAGAUACCCUGGUAGUCCACGCCGUAAACGAUG